Molecule: transfer RNA, 73 nt
Filed under: Diaphorina citri (Asian citrus psyllid)
Lineage: Eukaryota; Metazoa; Arthropoda; Insecta; Hemiptera; Psyllidae
Rfam family: tRNA
About the family: Transfer RNA (tRNA) molecules are approximately 80 nucleotides in length. Their secondary structure includes four short double-helical elements and three loops (D, anti-codon, and T loops). Further hydrogen bonds mediate the characteristic L-shaped molecular structure. tRNAs have two regions of fundamental functional importance: the anti-codon, which is responsible for specific mRNA codon recognition, and the 3' end, to which the tRNAs corresponding amino acid is attached (by aminoacyl-tRNA synthetases). tRNAs cope with the degeneracy of the genetic code in two manners: having more than one tRNA (with a specific anti-codon) for a particular amino acid; and 'wobble' base-pairing, i.e. permitting non-standard base-pairing at the 3rd anti-codon position.
Source: Rfam by way of RNAcentral
GCCUAGUUAGCUUAGUUGGUAGUGCGUCUGCCUUGUAAGCGCUAGGCCGCGGGUUCGAUUCCCGCCCGAGGUU